Molecule: ribosomal RNA, 253 nt
Filed under: uncultured bacterium
Lineage: Bacteria
Description: partial 16S ribosomal RNA
Rfam family: Bacterial small subunit ribosomal RNA
Source: RNAcentral
UACGAAGGGGGCUAGCGUUGUUCGGAAUUACUGGGCGUAAAGGGCUCGUAGGCGGCCAACUAAGUCGGAUGUGAAAUCCCCAGGCUUAACCUGGGAACUGCAUCCGAUACUGGAUGGCUUGAAUCCGGGAGAGGGAUGCAGAAUUCCAGGUGUAGCGGUGAAAUGCGUAGAUAUCUGGAGGAAUACCGGUGGCGAAGGCGGCAUCCUGGACCGGCAUUGACGCUGAGGAGCGAAAGCUAGGGGAGCAAACGGG